RNAcentral lists this long non-coding RNA (364 nucleotides) under Elaeis guineensis (African oil palm). Its description in RNAcentral is "long non-coding RNA (EGUI_LNC047107)". The record is from RNAcentral. Lineage: Eukaryota; Viridiplantae; Streptophyta; Magnoliopsida; Arecales; Arecaceae.
GUAUAUAUGUAAAAAAAUAAAAAAAUAUAUAUAUAUGCAAAAUAAGUAUUUUAUGAGGGUAUAUAUAUAAACAUCAAUUUUGAAAGGAUAUCCAUAUAAAUUUGAAUGUUUAAAAAGGUAUACAUGCAAAAAAUCCUAUUAUAUUUUUGGCAUUCAAGAGAGAGCGCAGAGUGAGAGGCUGGUAGUGAGUGAUGGUGAGAAAGGAGGAGAGGGAGUAAAGUAAAGUGCCGAUGGUGAGAGAUAGUGGGAAAAGAGGAGAGUGAGCAAAGAGUGAGGAGCCAAUGAUGAUAGAUGGUGAUUACCACACUGUUUCAGCACGGAUGAACUUGAGGAACCAAUAAAUAUGGUGAAAAAGGGGGAGGAA